AGCCCCUUAGAGGCCAACUAAGUUUCUCCUGGGUAUAAGCUUUCGUGUAUCUGAAGAAAUGUGAAUGCACACAAAAGCUUAUACCCAGAAGAAACUUAGUUGGUCUCUAAGGUGCU
Non-coding RNA from Podarcis lilfordi (Lilford's wall lizard), 116 nucleotides. The record is from the annotation of a GenBank genome assembly. Lineage: Eukaryota; Metazoa; Chordata; Lepidosauria; Squamata; Lacertidae.